RNAcentral lists this ribosomal RNA (301 nucleotides) under uncultured bacterium. Its description in RNAcentral is "partial 16S ribosomal RNA". It matches the Rfam family "Bacterial small subunit ribosomal RNA", at positions 509 to 807 of the family's 1533-position model. The record is from RNAcentral.
CAGUCGCCGCGGGAAUACGGAGGGGGCUAGCGUUGUUCGGAAUUACUGGGCGUAAAGCGCACGUAGGCGGCUUUGUAAGUUAGAGGUGAAAGCCCGGAGCUCAACUCCGGAAUUGCCUUUAAGACUGCAGAGCUAGCAGGUGAGAGAGGUGAGUGGAAUUCCGAGUGUAGAGGUGAAAUUCGUAGAUAUUCGGAAGAACACCAGUGGCGAAGGCGGCUCACUGGCUCAUUCUAGACGCUGAGGUGCGAAAGCGUGGGGAGCAAACAGGAUUAGAUACCCGCGUAGUCCCUGUCUCUUAUAC